GUCUAUGGUGGUCAUGUACAGGGCGUCUCCGGGCGCGCCGGCUCCUAACACCCGGUCUACCAACCUGUUCAUGGCCGCCACCCUA
Molecule: non-coding RNA, 85 nt
Submitted as: unclassified sequences
Source: Rfam